RNAcentral lists this small nuclear RNA (110 nucleotides) under Erinaceus europaeus (western European hedgehog). RNAcentral's name for it is "U2 spliceosomal RNA (ENSEEUG00000020766.1)". It matches the Rfam family "U2 spliceosomal RNA". From Rfam's summary of the family: U2 is a small nuclear RNA (snRNA) component of the spliceosome (involved in pre-mRNA splicing). Complementary binding between U2 snRNA (in an area lying towards the 5' end but 3' to hairpin I) and the branchpoint sequence (BPS) of the intron results the bulging out of an unpaired adenosine, on the BPS, which initiates a nucleophilic attack at the intronic 5' splice site, thus starting the first of two transesterification reactions that mediate splicing. Lineage: Eukaryota; Metazoa; Chordata; Mammalia; Eulipotyphla; Erinaceidae. The record is from RNAcentral.
AUCACUUCUCAGCCUUUUAGCUAAGAUCAAGUGUAGUAUCUGUUCUUAUCAGUUUAACAGAGAAACCUGUGGUCCAGGAGAUGCCCAGUGGAUAAAGCCUUGGACUCUCA